CACCGCGGUUAGACGAGAGACCCUAGUUGAUACCAAAACGGCGUAAAGGGUGGUUAGGGAUAAAAAUAAUAAAGCCGAAUGGCCCCUUGGCUGUCAUACGCUUCUAGGCGUCCGAAGCCCUAUUACACGAAAGUAGCUUUAACAACUUACCCGAAUCCACGAAAGCUAAGAAA
RNAcentral lists this ribosomal RNA (173 nucleotides) under Puntius cf. masyai CBM ZF 11245. Its description in RNAcentral is "partial 12S rRNA". Lineage: Eukaryota; Metazoa; Chordata; Actinopteri; Cypriniformes; Cyprinidae. The record is from RNAcentral.